This 881-nucleotide ribosomal RNA is filed under the name uncultured bacterium. Its description in RNAcentral is "bacterial SSU rRNA". It matches the Rfam family "Bacterial small subunit ribosomal RNA", at positions 26 to 896 of the family's 1533-position model. The record is from RNAcentral.
AGAUUGAACGCUGGCGGCAGGCUUAACACAUGCAAGUCGAGCGGUAACAGAGAAUAGCUUGCUAUUCUGCUGACGAGCGGCGGACGGGUGAGUAAUGCUUGGGAAUAUGCCUUUAGGUGGGGGACAACAGUUGGAAACGACUGCUAAUACCGCAUAAUGUCUACGGACCAAAGGGGGGGAUCUUCGGACCUCUCGCCUAUAGAUUAGCCCAAGUGAGAUUAGCUAGUUGGUGAGGUAAAGGCUCACCAAGGCGACGAUCUCUAGCUGGUUUGAGAGGAUGAUCAGCCACACUGGGACUGAGACACGGCCCAGACUCCUACGGGAGGCAGCAGUGGGGAAUAUUGCACAAUGGGCGCAAGCCUGAUGCAGCCAUGCCGCGUGUGUGAAGAAGGCCUUCGGGUUGUAAAGCACUUUCAGUUGUGAGGAAAGGAGUGUAGUUAAUAGCUGCAUUCUAUGACGUUAGCAACAGAAGAAGGACCGGCUAACUCCGUGCCAGCAGCCGCGGUAAUACGGAGGGUCCGAGCGUUAAUCGGAAUUACUGGGCGUAAAGCGUGCGUAGGCGGUUUGUUAAGUGAGAUGUGAAAUCCCGGGGCUCAACCUCGGAACUGCAUUUCAAACUGGCAAGCUAGAGUACUGUAGAGGGUGGUGGAAUUUCCAGUGUAGCGGUGAAAUGCGUAGAGAUUGGAAGGAACAUCAGUGGCGAAGGCGGCCACCUGGACAGAUACUGACGCUGAGGCACGAAAGCGUGGGGAGCAAACAGGAUUAGAUACCCUGGUAGUCCACGCCGUAAACGAUGUCAACUAACUGUCUGUAGACUUGAUCUGUGGGUAGUGAAGCUAACGCGAUAAGUUGACCGCCUGGGGAGUACGGCCGCAAGGUUA